This 231-nucleotide ribosomal RNA is filed under the name uncultured bacterium. RNAcentral describes it as "partial 16S ribosomal RNA". It matches the Rfam family "Bacterial small subunit ribosomal RNA", at positions 103 to 334 of the family's 1533-position model. The record is from RNAcentral.
CGGGUGCGUAACGCGUAUGCAAUCUACCCACAGCAGAGGGAUAGCCCGUGGAAACAUGGAUUAAUACCUCAUAACACAGGGAGCCCACCUGGGCAUAUUGUUAAAGCUUCGGCGGCAGUGGAUGAGCAUGCGUCCCAUUAGUUAGUUGGUACGGUAACGGCGUACCAAGACGAUGAUGGGUAGGGGUUCUGAGAGGAUGAUCCCCCACACUGGUACUGAGAUACGGACCGG